CCUACGGGAGGCAGCAGUGGGGAAUAUUGCACAAUGGACGAAAGUCUGAUCCAGCGACGCCGCGUGAGGGAAGAAGGAUUUCGGUAUUGAAAGCUCUAUCAGUAGGGAAGUAAAAAGACGGUACCUGACUAAGAAGUCCCUGCUAACUACGUGCCAGCAGCCGCGGUAAUACGGAGGGGGCGAGCGUUAUCCGGAUUUACUGGGUUUAAAGGGAGCGUAGACGGAGAAGUAAGUCAGAAGUGAAAGCCCGUGGCUUAACCACGGGACUGCUGUGGAAACUGUUUGACUAGAGUGCUGGAGAGGUAAGUGGAAUUCCUAGUGUAGCGGUGAAAUGCGUAGAUAUUAGGAGGAACACCAGUGGCGAAGGCGGCUUACUGGACAGUAACUGACGUUGAGGCUCGAAAGCGUGGGGAGCAAACAGGAUUAGAUACCCUAGUAGUC
RNAcentral lists this ribosomal RNA (441 nucleotides) under uncultured bacterium. Its description in RNAcentral is "partial 16S ribosomal RNA". It matches the Rfam family "Bacterial small subunit ribosomal RNA", at positions 338 to 795 of the family's 1533-position model. The record is from RNAcentral.